CUUGACGACCAUAGAGCGUUGGAACCACCUGAUCCCAUCCCGAACUCAGUAGUGAAACGACGCAUCGCCGAUGGUAGUGUGGAGCUUCUCCAUGUGAGAGUAGGUCAUCGUCAAGC
Molecule: ribosomal RNA, 116 nt
Organism: Pseudomonas fulva 12-X
Lineage: Bacteria; Pseudomonadati; Pseudomonadota; Gammaproteobacteria; Pseudomonadales; Pseudomonadaceae
Source: Rfam